RNAcentral lists this ribosomal RNA (549 nucleotides) under uncultured bacterium. RNAcentral describes it as "bacterial SSU rRNA". It matches the Rfam family "Bacterial small subunit ribosomal RNA", at positions 356 to 896 of the family's 1533-position model. The record is from RNAcentral.
AGGGAAUCUUCGGCAAUGGACGGAAGUCUGACCGAGCAACGCCGCGUGAGUGAAGAAGGUUUUCGGAUCGUAAAGCUCUGUUGUAAGAGAAGAACGAGUGUGAGAGUGGAAAGUUCACACUGUGACGGUAUCUUACCAGAAAGGGACGGCUAACUACGUGCCAGCAGCCGCGGUAAUACGUAGGUCCCGAGCGUUGUCCGGAUUUAUUGGGCGUAAAGCGAGCGCAGGCGGUUAGAUAAGUCUGAAGUUAAAGGCUGUGGCUUAACCAUAGUACGCUUUGGAAACUGUUUAACUUGAGUGCAAGAGGGGAGAGUGGAAUUCCAUGUGUAGCGGUGAAAUGCGUAGAUAUAUGGAGGAACACCGGUGGCGAAAGCGGCUCUCUGGCUUGUAACUGACGCUGAGGCUCGAAAGCGUGGGGAGCAAACAGGAUUAGAUACCCUGGUAGUCCACGCCGUAAACGAUGAGUGCUAGGUGUUAGGUCCUUUCCGGGACUCAGUGCCGCAGCUAACGCAUUAAGCACUCCGCCUGGGGAGUACGACCGCAAGGUUG